RNAcentral lists this ribosomal RNA (644 nucleotides) under uncultured bacterium. Its description in RNAcentral is "bacterial SSU rRNA". It matches the Rfam family "Bacterial small subunit ribosomal RNA", at positions 67 to 701 of the family's 1533-position model. The record is from RNAcentral.
CGGCAGCAUUAAUCCUUUCGGAUUGAUGGCGAGUGGCGGACGGGUGAGUAAUAUAUAGGAAUCUGCCUUGUAGUGGGGGAUAACUAUCCGAAAGGAUAGCUAAUACCGCAUAAUGAUUACGGUUUAAAGCAGGGGAUCUUCGGACCUUGCGCUACAAGUUGAGCCUAUACAAGAUUAGCUAGUUGGUGAGGUAAAGGCUCACCAAGGCGACGAUCUUUAGCUGGUCUGAGAGGAUGAUCAGCCACACUGGGACUGAGACACGGCCCAGACUCUUACGGGAGGCAGCAGUGGGGAAUAUUGGACAAUGGGCGCAAGCCUGAUCCAGCAAUACCGCGUGUGUGAAGAAGGCCUUCGGGUUGUAAAGCACUUUUGUUAGGGAGGAUGGCUAUUUAAGAUAAUACCUUAAGUAGUUGACGUUACCUAAAGAAUCAGCACCGGCUAACUCCGUGCCAGCAGCCGCGGUAAUACGGAGGGUGCAAGCGUUAAUCGGAUUUACUGGGCGUAAAGGGUGCGUAGGCGGUUACUUAAGUCAGAUGUGAAAUCCCCGGGCUCAACCUGGGAAUUGCAUUUGAUACUGGGUGACUUAGAAUGUGGUAGAGGGUAGCGGAAUUUCUGGUGUAGCGGUGAAAUGCGUAGAUAUCAGA